CCCCUGGGGGACACCACUAUUUACCUCUCUCCAUUCUGAAAACUAACCAUUUAUUCUUACCCUUUGCUUCCUAUCUUUUAACCAGUUAUUGAUCCAUGAGAGUAACGUCCUUCUUAUCCCAUAACUACUUACUUUGCUUAAGAGCCUUUUGUGAGGGACCUUGUCAAAGGCUUUCUGAAAAUCUAAGUACACUCUAUCCACUGGAUCACCUUUGUCCACAUACUUGUUGACCCCCUCAAAGAAUUUUAGUAGAUUGGUGAGGCAUGAUUUCCCUGUAUAAAAACCAUGCUGACUCUUCCCUAACAAAUCAUGUUCAUUUAUCUGUCUGAUAAUUCUGUUCAGCACUAGGCAAAUUGAUUGCAACUACAGUAAAGAAGUGAGGCUUACUGUCUUGUAAUUGCAGGGAUUGCCUCUGGAGCCCUUUUAAAAAUUGGUAUCACAUUAGCUAUCCUCCAGUCAUUUGGUACAGAAGCUGAUUUAAAUGAUAGGUUACAGACUACAGUUACAUAGGUUUUAGUACC
Dermochelys coriacea (leatherback sea turtle) is the source of this 521-nucleotide long non-coding RNA. RefSeq lists it as uncharacterized. NCBI's taxonomy places the organism in Eukaryota, Metazoa, Chordata, Testudines, Dermochelyidae. The transcript has 3 exons. The record is from RefSeq and is a predicted model, not a curated record.